Molecule: microRNA, 22 nt
Filed under: Cordylochernes scorpioides
Lineage: Eukaryota; Metazoa; Arthropoda; Arachnida; Pseudoscorpiones; Chernetidae
Source: RNAcentral
ACAUCCCUACUUAUGAACCUAG